Molecule: ribosomal RNA, 321 nt
Filed under: uncultured bacterium
Lineage: Bacteria
Description: bacterial SSU rRNA
Rfam family: Bacterial small subunit ribosomal RNA
Source: RNAcentral
GCAAUACGGGAGCGGCAGACGGGAGAGUAACACGUGGGAACGUACCCUUCGGUUCGGAAUAACCCAGGGAAACUUGGGCUAAUACCGGAUACGUCCGUAAGGAGAAAGAUUUAUCGCCGAGGGAUCGGCCCGCGUCCGAUUAGCUAGUUGGUGGGGUAAUGGCCCACCAAGGCGACGAUCGGUAGCUGGUCUGAGAGGAUGAUCAGCCUCACUGGGACUGAGACACGGCCCAGACUCCUACGGGAGGCAGCAGUGGGGAAUAUUGGACAAUGGGGGCAACCCUGAUCCAGCCAUGCCGCGUGAGUGAAGAAGGCCUUAGGG